Molecule: long non-coding RNA, 361 nt
Organism: Delphinapterus leucas (beluga whale)
Lineage: Eukaryota; Metazoa; Chordata; Mammalia; Artiodactyla; Monodontidae
Source: RefSeq, a predicted model, not a curated record
AGUGCAGGAACCGCGAGACGUGGCAGCGCCAUGACCCGGAGGGUGGGGGCGUCAUCCUGGAGUCACGCGGGGGACCUAGACGGCUUCAAAUCCGACCGAGUGCGUUCCCAGACGCUGGGGGAAAAUCAGAAGUGGCGACCGGCAGAUAAGAAAACUGAGUCAAAUGGAAAGAUGAAUGAUGCUUUUGGAUGGGAAGACUCUAUCAUAAAGAUCUCAAUUUUCUAAAAACAAUUCAAAGAGCAUAGAAGAGCAUAGAAGCUUACGGGCUUCCCUGAUGGCGCAGUGGUUAAGAAUCCGCCUGCCACUGCAGAGGACAUGGGUUCGAGCCCUGGUCCGGGAAGAUCCCAAAUGCUGCGGAGCA